UGGAUCCAGACUUUGAUUAUGGCUCAGGAUGAACGCUAGCUACAGGCUUAACACAUGCAAGUCGAGGGGAAACGACAUCGAAAGCUUGCUUUUGAUGGGCGUCGACCGGCGCACGGGUGAGUAACGCGUAUCCAACCUGCCCAUCACUUGGGGAUAACCUUGCGAAAGUAAGACUAAUACCCAAUGAUAUCUCUAGAAGACAUCUGAAAGAGAUUAAAGAUUUAUCGGUGAUGGAUGGGGAUGCGUCUGAUUAGCUUGUUGGCGGGGUAACGGCCCACCAAGGCGACGAUCAGUAGGGGUUCUGAGAGGAAGGUCCCCCACAUUGGAACUGAGACACGGUCCAAACUCCUACGGGAGGCAGCAGUGAGGAAUAUUGGUCAAUGGGCGAGAGCCUGAACCAGCCAAGUAGCGUGCAGGAUGACGGCCCUAUGGGUUGUAAACUGCUUUUAUAAGGGAAUAAAGUGAGUCUCGUGAGACUUUUUGCAUGUACCUUAUGAAUAAGGACCGGCUAAUUCCGUGCCAGCAGCCGCGGUAAUACGGAAGG
This 544-nucleotide ribosomal RNA is filed under the name uncultured Bacteroidota bacterium. RNAcentral describes it as "bacterial SSU rRNA". It matches the Rfam family "Bacterial small subunit ribosomal RNA", at positions 1 to 532 of the family's 1533-position model. The record is from RNAcentral. Lineage: Bacteria; Pseudomonadati; Bacteroidota.